This 253-nucleotide ribosomal RNA is filed under the name uncultured bacterium. RNAcentral describes it as "partial 16S ribosomal RNA". It matches the Rfam family "Bacterial small subunit ribosomal RNA", at positions 524 to 776 of the family's 1533-position model. The record is from RNAcentral.
UACGUAGGGUGCGAGCGUUGUCCGGAAUUACUGGGCGUAAAGAGCUCGUAGGUGGUUUGUCGCGUUGUUCGUGAAAUCUCACGGCUUAACUGUGAGCGUGCGAGCGAUACGGGCAGACUGGAGUACUGCAGGGGAGACUGGAAUUCCUGGUGUAGCGGUGGAAUGCGCAGAUAUCAGGAGGAACACCGGUGGCGAAGGCGGGUCUCUGGGCAGUAACUGACGCUGAGGAGCGAAAGCGUGGGGAGCGAACAGG